Molecule: long non-coding RNA, 2464 nt
Filed under: Drosophila guanche
Lineage: Eukaryota; Metazoa; Arthropoda; Insecta; Diptera; Drosophilidae
Source: RNAcentral
CGUGGUUUUAAGGGAAAAUCGCUCCACGAAAAUCGGGAAAUUAAUGGAAAAUCAUACGGAAAAAUUGUCGGGCAGUGGAGCAGUCCAGUGUAAUUGGUUUUGUGGAGCAGAGUUUUGUGUAACGAAGUGGUUUGGUGAAGCGUUGCAAAAAUUGCAAAAAAAAACAGUUACUGAUCCAGAGCGGCGUCCACCGUCAAAAUGGUAUACAAAUGGCUGAGCGGCAGAGCAAAUGAGGCAAUGAAUGAGAAAGUGUACAGUACAAAAUGAUGUACAAAAUUUGCUCGUACAUACAUAUUUACAUUUUCUAUGCAUAUGCAAAUUUGUAGGUGAAGUGAUAUCUGGCAAUGUGUGUAAGUGUGUUUGCGUUUGCAAAAAAUGCGGCGCAGAAGAUGUGCGCAGAAGAUGUCCCUUCUCCAAUGCCCAACGUGAAGAAGAGGAGAAAAGCAAUAAGAAAGGAGCGAGUGUAAAGCGUAUCGACGCUCUCUCUCUCUUAUUGAAUGGUGAGGUGAGGCCUUGCAGAUCUGACUCUCUCUUGUUAGUGUUUCCACAGGAAACUCAGUGCUGUUAUGCCUCACCUUAUAUUAACCUACACAAAAUAUGCGCUCUCAUUGAAAUGUGUUUGGAAUUAAUUCGUAUUUGUAUCGUAGCAGUAAAUACUUGUCUCUGACUCAAGUGGCCCUCUAUCUCACCCACCGGAAAAUUUCAGCACGUGAAUCCAGCAGCUUGUUGACUAAUUAAACACUUGAAGUAAGAAUCACUCACAUGAGAACUUGAGCUUAUCGUCGACGAGAUCACUUUAGAGACGAGCUAUAAAAGGGGGCUCCCGUGUGGGUGCCUCUAAGUCAGUCAUGACGUUACUACACAACUUACUGGUAACAAGAGAAUGUGCUGGGGCUGCACUGCACCCUCGGGCGUGCUGCUGCCGUAGAUCUAAGCCUUGAUCAAAUCAUCAAUCAAGGCCAACUGGGUGUUAAGUGUUGCUCCACUCUUAAAAAUGAAUCAAAAGUUAAAGACAUUUACAUCUUUAUAGACGGGCAACCACGAUUGGAUGGAAAUGCUGCAGAUGUUCCUGCCUGGCAGGAGUAUCACCUACCAAGGCGAGGAGCUGCAUAUGACAGACCUCCAUAUCAGCUGGGAGGACACUCGCGAUCCGGCAGGUUGCAACUCGAACGCAGACAUCUACGAUCUACUCACGCAACCCAGUGCGGACUCCAUUCCACUGGAGCAACAAAGCGAAUGCAUGAAUGAAUCUCCUCGAACAGCAGCACCUGGCUGCCGAUAAACCCCAACUACCAGACUAUCAAUGUCAAAACGGAGAAUGCCAGCACCACCAGGCACCUGAGCUUGGCAUCCAAUCCCCAGGCGAAGGCAUCUGUGCUGUAAGUUUUCAUCAAAUAUAAUUAUCUUCCAAUGUUUCUACUUCUAUAUAUCCCUGUAGCGUUAACGUUACCCUUAGCAGUCUUUCCCUGGAACCAUACACUUCCUUGAUUUUGGAGUCUGUGUAGGGCAAUGUUUUAAUCAGAAAUUCAUGGAGUGAAAUAUAAAUAUUUGCGCACAUGUACCCGUACUCGUACUCGUAGUAGCAUUCGUGCUGGUAUUUGGGGCGAACGACAUUGGAAAACUUUUCAAUUUAAGGUCGUAUUCGUGGCCAACUUAUUGCAAAUUAUGAGGGAACUUCGUCCUCAGUCAAGCACGGCUGGGCGGGGUGCAAAAGAAAUUCCAUUAGUCGUGAUUGAUAAGACACACAAAUCACGCAUCCGAAGCGUUGCCUCCCUGCCAAAAUGAAAGCCGUCCUUCAGAGACCGCAGAAGGUGUCGCGGAAGUGCGGCAAGUGUGGGUGUGGGCAUGUACUCGUAGUUGGUGAGAGUAACAGGCGUCGUAGCAGCGUAGCUUCUCCCUGCUUGGAUUUUUAAUUUAUUCGCUCAAAUUUAAGUGAAAUUUUGUUGAGUUUUCAGCUUCGUUCAGGGAGAACUGCAGUAUCAUCGUUAGCCUCGACACAGACUCCUUCCCACGGACCUACCUCAUUUCGUCUGCAUUGACGCGACAAUUGGUCUGUCAUCUGCGUGCUUCUCUGUGGGAUUAACUGUCAACCCAGCGGCAAACGUGCGCGGCAUGCCGAGUGCCAUAGACUCCUGGCGAGCAUAAGUCAACCCUUUGGCCAACAGUUAUGAGCCAGCCAGCUCGUUCUCGUUCUUCGUUGCGGUGCAAUUAAUGAGAUGACGGGCGGCCGGCCGGCCAGCUAGUAAAUGAACUUCCCCAGCUUCAGCUUCGAUUCUCCGAUUCGUUCCUGGCCAGCUGGCACGUGCCGAUCCAGAUACCUCAGCCAGAGCCAGUCCCACAUCAGCGACCCAUCAGCCUGGCGAAACUCAAAUAUGAAGCCGUGCGGGCAAACAUAAUUAAUAUGCAAACGUUGUCGGUGCUGUGAAUACGUUAACUAAAUGUGCAAGAGCCAGGGCUACCUUCC